UGUAACUCAGUGGUAGAGUAUUUGUCUGGCAUAUAUGAGACUCUGGGUUCAAUUCCCAGCA
RNAcentral lists this transfer RNA (61 nucleotides) under Fukomys damarensis (Damara mole-rat). It matches the Rfam family "tRNA", at positions 6 to 65 of the family's 71-position model. Rfam says of the family: Transfer RNA (tRNA) molecules are approximately 80 nucleotides in length. Their secondary structure includes four short double-helical elements and three loops (D, anti-codon, and T loops). Lineage: Eukaryota; Metazoa; Chordata; Mammalia; Rodentia; Bathyergidae. The record is from Rfam by way of RNAcentral.